This 27-nucleotide non-coding RNA is filed under the name Rattus norvegicus (Norway rat). The record is from RNAcentral. Lineage: Eukaryota; Metazoa; Chordata; Mammalia; Rodentia; Muridae.
AGACAUCACCUGAUUACAUAGGCUCCA